AAAGGAUGUGCCAACAAGAAUAUCCAGAUUCCCAUCACCAUCCAAAUCGAUGACAGUAGGGGAGGAAUAUAUAUAAGCACGAAAGUUCGCAGAAUCUGUGCUCAAGUCUAGUUCAGUCGUCCACUUCACUUGCUUUGUAUCCAGAUUGAAAACAACAAUGGCCCCAGCUACAUAUUUCCCAAUGUCAAGAUCACCCAAUUCUUUCUUGUG
Molecule: unclassified non-coding RNA, 210 nt
Filed under: Hevea brasiliensis (rubber tree)
Lineage: Eukaryota; Viridiplantae; Streptophyta; Magnoliopsida; Malpighiales; Euphorbiaceae
Source: RNAcentral